Molecule: ribosomal RNA, 412 nt
Filed under: uncultured bacterium
Lineage: Bacteria
Description: bacterial SSU rRNA
Rfam family: Bacterial small subunit ribosomal RNA
Source: RNAcentral
GGAAUAUUGCGCAAUGGGCGCAAGCCUGACGCAGCGACGCCGCGUGUGGGAUGACGGCCUUCGGGUUGUAAACCACUGUCGGGAGGGACGAAUGCCCCGCAAGGGGAGUGACGGUACCUCCAAAGGAAGCACCGGCUAACCACGGGCCACCCGCCGCGGUAAUACGGAGGGUGCGAGCGUUGUCCGGAAUCACUGGGCGUAAAGGGGGCGUAGGCGGCCUGAUAAGUCGGGGGUGAAAUCCUGCGGCUCAACCGCAGGGCUGCCUUCUAAACUGUCAGGCUCGAGCACAGUAGAGGCAGGUGGAAUUCCCGGUGUAGCGGCGGAAUGCGUAGAGAUCGGGAAGAACAUCAGUGGCGAAGGCGGCCUGCUGGACUGUUGCUGACGCUGAGGCGCGACAGCGUGGGGAGCAAAC